Molecule: ribosomal RNA, 484 nt
Filed under: uncultured bacterium
Lineage: Bacteria
Description: partial 16S ribosomal RNA
Rfam family: Bacterial small subunit ribosomal RNA
Source: RNAcentral
AUUGAACGCUGGCGGCAGGCCUAACACAUGCAAGUCGAGCGGAUGAAGGGAGCUUGCUCCUGGAUUCAGCGGCGGACGGGUGAGUAAUGCCUAGGAAUCUGCCUGGUAGUGGGGGAUAACGUCCGGAAACGGGCGCUAAUACCGCAUACGUCCUGAGGGAGAAAGUGGGGGAUCUUCGGACCUCACGCUAUCAGAUGAGCCUAGGUCGGAUUAGCUAGUUGGUGGGGUAAAGGCCUACCAAGGCGACGAUCCGUAACUGGUCUGAGAGGAUGAUCAGUCACACUGGAACUGAGACACGGUCCAGACUCCUACGGGAGGCAGCAGUGGGGAAUCUUGGGCAAUGGGGGAAAGCCUGAUCCAGCCAUGCCGCGUGUGUGAAGAAGGUCUUCGGAUUGUAAAGCACUUUAAGUUGGGAGGAAGGGCAGUAAGUUAACACCUUGCUGUUUUGACGUUACCAACAGAAUAAGCACCGGCUAACUUCGUG